CUCAGGAAACCACUUUCUUUGCUCAUCCAUAAG
This 33-nucleotide microRNA is filed under the name Canis lupus familiaris (dog). Its description in RNAcentral is "miRNA (ENSCAFG00000057238.1, ENSCAFG00000059389.1, ENSCAFG00845016197.1, ENSCAFG00845028584.1)". RNAcentral also lists the same sequence under 1 other name. The record is from RNAcentral. Lineage: Eukaryota; Metazoa; Chordata; Mammalia; Carnivora; Canidae.